GAUGAACGCUGGCGGCGUGCCUAAUACAUGCAAGUCGAGAGAACGGACGAGAAGCUUGCUUCUCUGAUGUUAGCGGCGGACGGGUGAGUAACACGUGGAUAACCUACCUAUAAGACUGGGAUAACUUCGGGAAACCGGAGCUAAUACCGGAUGAUAUUUUGAACCGCAUGGUUCAAAAGUGAAAGACGGUCUUGCUGUCACUUAUAGAUGGAUCCGCGCUGCAUUAGCUAGUUGGUAAGGUAACGGCUUACCAAGGCAACGAUGCAUAGCCGACCUGAGAGGGUGAUCGGCCACACUGGAACUGAGACACGGUCCAGACUCCUACGGGAGGCAGCAGUAGGGAAUCUUCCGCAAUGGGCGAAAGCCUGACGGAGCAACGCCGCGUGAGUGAUGAAGGUCUUCGGAUCGUAAAACUCUGUUAUUAGGGAAGAACAUAUGUGUAAGUAACUGUGCACAUCUUGACGGUACCUAAUCUGAAAGCCACGGCUAACUACGUG
Molecule: ribosomal RNA, 497 nt
Filed under: uncultured bacterium
Lineage: Bacteria
Description: partial 16S ribosomal RNA
Rfam family: Bacterial small subunit ribosomal RNA
Source: RNAcentral